This is a non-coding RNA of Schistosoma mattheei, 45 nucleotides long. Lineage: Eukaryota; Metazoa; Platyhelminthes; Trematoda; Strigeidida; Schistosomatidae. The record is from Rfam.
AUCCGGCUGACGAGUCCCAAAUAAGAUGAAACGCGUGUCCUGGAU